This 1029-nucleotide long non-coding RNA is filed under the name Coturnix japonica (Japanese quail). RNAcentral describes it as "lncRNA (ENSCJPG00005013587.1)". Lineage: Eukaryota; Metazoa; Chordata; Aves; Galliformes; Phasianidae. The record is from RNAcentral.
GGGCUGGAUUGCUGGCUUUUCACGCCUCUCACUAAUUAAAUCCUAGUCUGUAGUCCACUUGUUCACUCCAUCUGAGCUGGUGGCUUCUUAACAGCUUUGUAGGUGCAUUUCCACUGGGGCAUCUUCCAGAAACAACAGAAACUCACACACACCACCUUUAAGCCAGAGACAUGUAAUUAGGUUGUUUUUCGGAAGGUCGGUUUGCUACAGGCAAAUAGCCCAUCACUAAGUUUGGAGGGCCAGCUUGUCCAGUUUUUAACCUCACGAAGAUUUUGUUACAGUUAAUCCUUUACUGAUGGUCUCUACAUCCUGUUCCAAGUAACUUAAAUGAUACAGCUUAAGUCUAUUUAAAAGGAUGGGUGGAGUACUUGUCCCAUUCAUUCCAGUGAAGAAACAAAACCAGGCUAGCCAAAAGGCUUCAAGUAAAAUUGGGUGAUACUCAGAACACGAAGACUUUUGGUUUGUAUAACAAUCCAAAUGUGGUGAGUGGAAGAAAGUUGUCUAGUUUUUAAUCAACUCAAUGUUUGUGCAGUGCUGCAUGUAGAAGUGGGAUCGGUAUUUUUUGUGUAGCCAAUUCUCAUAAUUUUAUCAUGAAUUUUGCAAUGUUAUGCUUUUGGGAAAAAAAAUAACCUGCUAUUAUGUAAGAAAGCUAAUUUUCAUUUAAAAACAGAAAGAAAAAGUGUUUCUAGCCCUUGCACUUAGGUUGAGUGUGACCUAAGUACACCCCAAAGUAAAAUGAACAACAAAAACCCUCCCCCAAGUGUUAUGGUUUCUGAGUCAAGCCCUGUACACUCAUGUUCCAUUUUUCAUUUGAUUUUUUUUUCUGUUGGCAUUUCUGCAGUUACAAGUCAAUGGGUGCCCCGAAGGAAAGAUUUGGUCUUCCUUGCCUGAGCUUGCCCUGCAAAAGGCUAUCGAAGGCUCACCAAGAUGCCAAACCGUGGCUGGCUACAGCUUCAGCACAUCUCGUAACAAUGCAGGCCAUGACAUGCCAGUGUGAUGGAGCGUGGUGAUGUGCUGACUGGGAUCUGC